RNAcentral lists this ribosomal RNA (440 nucleotides) under uncultured Pseudomonas sp. RNAcentral's name for it is "bacterial SSU rRNA". It matches the Rfam family "Bacterial small subunit ribosomal RNA", at positions 358 to 790 of the family's 1533-position model. Lineage: Bacteria; Pseudomonadati; Pseudomonadota; Gammaproteobacteria; Pseudomonadales; Pseudomonadaceae. The record is from RNAcentral.
GGAAUAUUGGACAAUGGGCGAAAGCCUGAUCCAGCCAUGCCGCGUGUGUGAAGAAGGUCUUCGGAUUGUAAAGCACUUUAAGUUGGGAGGAAGGGUUGUAGAUUAAUACUCUGCAAUUUUGACGUUACCGACAGAAUAAGCACCGGCUAACUCUGUGCCAGCAGCCGCGGUAAUACAGAGGGUGCAAGCGUUAAUCGGAAUUACUGGGCGUAAAGCGCGCGUAGGUGGUUUGUUAAGUUGGAUGUGAAAGCCCCGGGCUCAACCUGGGAACUGCAUCCAAAACUGGCAAGCUAGAGUACGGUAGAGGGUGGUGGAAUUUCCUGUGUAGCGGUGAAAUGCGUAGAUAUAGGAAGGAACACCAGUGGCGAAGGCGACCACCUGGACUGAUACUGACACUGAGGUGCGAAAGCGUGGGGAGCAAACAGGAUUAGAUACCCGGG